CAGGAGGGAUGGGGCUGAAGAUCAGAGCUUGGUUUUGGACAUCUUAGGGCUGAGCUGCCUGCUGGGCAUCCAAGUGGAGAUGUCAGGGAGGCAGUUAGAUAAAUAAGAAUGAAGUCUGGCGGAGGGGUCCAGACUAGAGAUAUGAAUUUGGGAUUCAUGAGUAUAUAGAUGGUAUUUUAAGCCCUGAGGAUAAAUAAGAACCCCGAGAAAUGGUAGGAGAAAGAGAAGAGGUCUAAGGGCAAAACCCUGAGGCCUCCAAUGUGCAGAAAUUAGAAAGCUAUGGGAGAACCCGCAUAGAGAAUGGGAAGAGUUUGGCAUCUGGGAAGCGAGAUGAAGAAUACGUUUUAAGGAGGAAGGACUGAUCAACUGUGUCAGAUCCUGCAAGUGAGAUGAGGACUGAGAAUGGAUCAUUGGAUCAAGCAACACGGAAGUCACGGUGACCUAACGAACAGCGCUGGAGCAGAAUCCUAAAGUCAGCUCAAGAGACAAAGCGGGGUGGGACUGGGUUUGGUAUUCAAGAAUACAGAAAACUUUUUCAAAGAGUUUUGUUUUGAAGAAAAGGAAAGGGAGUGCCAACUAGAGGAAGAAGUGGAAUCAAGAAAGGGUUUGAGGAUUUUCUUAAGAAGCAUGAAAUAAUAGCCUCUUUAUACUCUGAUGGGAAUGAUCCAGCAGAGAGAACAAUUAGGGAGAUGUGAGGGGAAAUUACCAGAGCAAUAUCCCUGAGUGGGCAAGAAGGAUGCAGUCCAUUGCAUCAGUGAGGGUCCCUUGCUUGGAAUGCGGGCACUUCAUCCACCAUAAGAGGAGAUGAGCAGUGCGCAUGGGCACCGAUGUGGGUGGGGGCAUGUGGGAGCUUGCGGAAGCUCCCAAUAUUUUCUAUCAGGAAAAUAGCUCGUCUCUGUUUUCCCAAUGAAACAGGAAGCAAGGUGAUCAGCUGAGAUGAGGCUGUGGAGGAGAUGCUGGUGAAUGAAUCUGUCAUUUGGGAAGAGUGGAUGGACCAGGUGAACAUAGUGUACGUGGUAGGGCCUGCUUGUAGUUAGUCCGCGUGAACUCAUAGAGUGUCCAGGAAGAGUGGCAAGAAUGAAUGAGUGAAUGAGUAAAUCUUUCCAAAGAGAUCAAGAAACCAGAAUCUAGACAAAAAAAGUUUGGCUAGCUCUCUUUCUUCCUCCAAAAUAAGUAACGGCAAUACUGGCCACAACAUGUAAUUGGACACUUAAAGCAGGCUCCUUUUCAGCAGACCUGACACAUCAUCUUGCACACUGCUGACGCACCGUUAAAUAUUUGCUCUCAAAGGAAUAUUUCUCAAACCCAAGCUCACCUUUACCUUCAAGUAGUCACAGUAUCUCAGAACGCAGACUUUAAGCCAGCAGACUGGGGUUUUGGUUCCAACUCUGCCAAUGUCUAGCUCUGUGACCUUCACCUCUCUGCAUCUCAAUUUCCUCAUCCACAAAUGGGAAUAAACAAUGGUAGAACCUAUGUCACUGGGCUGUCUCAAGGAUUAAAUAGCACGUCCCUUGCCUAACACAGUGCCUGUCUUAUAGUAAGUGCUUUACCAAUGACAGGUGAAUUCUGAGGAAGUCAACAGUGGAACCAGGCCAGAGAGAAGACUAGUCUUGGUUCAAGUUCUUUAUCAUAUUUGGAUGACGCCUUUGUGUAUACAGCUCAGAAUAUAUAAGUUUCAUUAUGCAAUUGUUAAGAGUUACUGACCUCUAUCCAAAAGACGGCUCAGCAAACACCUGAUCUACACCCUCUGAGGAUCAGUAAAGCCCCACAGUAGAGACUAUUAUGUCCAUUGAUUAACAAUAAAAAGGCAAAGUCCUGAACCCAAAAUCAGCUAUGUAUCAGUGACUUAGGGCCAACAUGUUUAUUUUCUUUAAGAAAUCUGUUUAAAACACAAACUGUCACAAAGCGCAGUCGUUAAGUCUGGUCAAGAAGUGCAAAACUGAAUAAGACAGUCCUCUUUUUUCAAAGUAAUAAUAGCUAGUAUUUAUCAGCACCUCUGUGCCAGGCACAGUGCCUGUGACUUUUACAACCAAGAGUUGAGUUACUCCUCGUCUCAGCCCUGGUAGUGGCUCCUAUUACUACAAGUGAGGAAAUGAAGACUUCGAGAGGUUCCAUGAUUUGUCCUGGGUCAGGCAGCUUGACCCAAAAGGGGUCUGACCAAAACAAUCCUUUUCCCCCUUUAACUUGCAAGUGAGAUGGGGAAUCAAGGCCAGGCCAAGAGCCUGGAAGGCCUUGCUAGACAGUGACCAUCUUGGCCUUCACCUUCCUGUAGGGUCCUGGAGGUGUUCUGUGUUGAAGGGGAGUGAGGGGGUUACAACCGAGAGCCGGUCUGUGUGAUUCAAUUCCAAAAACUAGGAGGAAGGGGGUGGUAGCUGUUGGAUUUGGUAUAGAACCAGCCAGUGAAACCAGGGGCCAACUAGCUUUAACUAUAGUCAGUUGUCUGUUUGCAGAAGUAGUUACAUAACCCAUUACUAAACUCACCCUAUAGAUGACAUCUCUGGCUUGGGUCAACAUGGUAACGGGUGCUUAAGGUUUUUAGGAACUGAGUGUUGACUCCUUGUCCAGUUCAGACUGGUUAAGACACACUGACUCAUCAACUGGGCCUGCACAGAUGACUGAAAGAUGACCCUUUGACAUCGGGAGGCUGAAAACUCCAACCUCAGAUCACGCUAAGGUCGCCAUUUUGUGAACACGCAUCCUAUGAAGUGCCAUGAAACUUGAUUACACUUGUGCAGAUCAUUGAUUCCUUACUUCCAAUCAUCUAUCCCCUCACUUCAGACCACACUACCUCUUUAUCCCAAAAAUAUCCCUAAUCCCCAUUUUCAGGGAAGCAGACUUGAGAUUUGUUCUCUUGUCUCCUCUCUUGGCCACCUUGUGGACAAACCCUUUCUCUGUUGCAAACUCAUCGUCUCAGUGAUCAUUAUAUCAUGCGGCAGGCAAAAUGAGCCUGGUUUGGUAACACCAGGAUUAAGAUUCCAAACUGUGUUUGUUGUUGUCAAGGUGUCUAUGGCUUUUGAACCUACCCAGAGGAACACUUGAUAAUAAAGCAUUCUAUAUCCAUCUGAAGAAAGGUUCUAAAGGCUCCAAAUGGGAGCAGCCCUAGAAUGAGUGGUCAGAAAAUGUUCCGACUGAAAGAAAAGCUAAAACAGUCUACAUCAACAUGAGCUUAGCCAUCACCAGAAAUCUCGCCAGCAUAAAAGAUGGUUUGAUAAUAUAUUGCAGAUGCGAGGGGUGCCUGCCCACCAGGACAGUGGGUUCAGCAAAUGACCACUGUCGCCUUCCUGCUGGACAGCACACCCAUCCACUGACGCACUGUGAGAAGAAUGUGGACAUGGACUAAUUUUUCUGGGGCGGUGCAGAAUGGCACUGUCAUCUCUUAUUGCACGCAGAGCCCCUCUCAGCUCUGAGGAAAUGGUCCGGGGUCACCACUGGGCAGCAAAAACGCAUCACGCCAAAAGAACAGCUCCGCAUCCAGGCUCUGCCUCCAGGCUUCCUUCAAAUGCAAACCCCAGGUUUUCACGCUUCACUCAACCUACCCGGCCACACUGGCGACAGUCCCAAACCCGGUGUCGCUCUUAUCUCCAGUCACGUGCUCUCAAGGAGCUUGCACAGACUGCUUCUCCUGUGUCGCCCACUGAAGUGACGGAGGGAGGUCUUCCAGGUACAUGCCUAAAAUGACUCUUCCAAGAAGGGCUUGCACGGCUGUGACAACAUUUACAUCAGAGAAAGCGGCCGAAGGCUCAGGAGAUUUCCCGACCUGUCACCUGUGCAGAGUUCCUUGCGCUAUGCUGGGUGAAAUAGGAAACCAGCCCUACACUCCUAAGUGCUUCCAUUUCACUCAGGCACAUCCCCCAAACACUAUGCUGUGUAGCUCUCGCGACAACACUUUCCUGUAGGUGAAACUAAUAUCCCUAUUUUACAGAUGAAGAAACUGAGGCUCAGUUUCUUCAGCUAAACGCUUUCUUACACAAAUCACCUCAGUUAAUUCUCACAUCAGCCGUUUUGUUACGCCCAAUUCUACAGAUAAGCAAACUGAAGAACAGAGAUGCUAAGUAAUUUCUCCAAGGUCAUGCAGUCAGUAUGGGGCACCAGUUGGGACUCCAACCUUCCUUUUUCUCACUCAUUCCAUGCAGAUGUUAGUCUUCAGUUUCAUUACAACCACCCUAAAAAAUAAUAAGGUUGUUUCAUCUCACAUAUAUAAAAGCAUCAUCAUGAGUAAUACCAAUUAUUUUUAAUAGCCCAUGAACCAAUGACAGAGAUUUCACAUGAGAUGCAUAUUUUUGCAGUUAGUUUCUACUUAAAAAGACAGGCCUGGGUGGCCAGGCCCCCAAGUCCAGACACUUACUGGGACUCUCCGCGCCUGGCAGCCUGUUCCUUGCACUGUGAGGAUGAAGCCUUUGGUGGCUGGCAGUGUCUUCCCUCCCUGCACCCCCUGCCCAGCCCUCCCCACGCUGGCUCUACGCUCAGGCCGCCCUUCCUCCCAGGAGGAAGUGGGUUGGGAGGGUAUUUCAGGAAGCAGAGCAGAGCUUUGAAAAGGACAUCUGUACUCAUAGUACCAGAGAGAGUCUAGAAAGCUCACAAGCACAGCUGGCGACUCUCCCGGGAGAGCUCGCUUUGCCUAGAGCUUCUGUCUUUUUGAGCCAGUCAUCCAAGUGAUACACGAUCUCAUUUUCCUCCUUCCCUGUGGAUGAAGAAAUGAGUCACCUGUGAGGUUAGAAAAUCCACGUUUCCAUAGCUGAUGCCUCCGCAUCUCAUCAAGGUCAAGAUGUUGGAGACAAAGCAAGGGCAGCUAUCUCUGCAUCUUAGAUGAUCACUUCCACUCAUAGCAACACAAUAACCAAUAGCAUAAAGACCCUCUUUAGUAUUUCUGGUACAGUGGUUUGUAUCAGCGUGAUAAUCUUGAAAGCCAGGAGCAAUUUUAUCUUUAACGAUUCCAAGAAAACGCAAAGGGAAACAAAACAGUCAGACUAACGCACCAGUGACUGUGCGGUUAGACACACAGUCAGCUCCUUGGUGGGGAUACUUCCAGUAGGUCUAGAAGUCGGUCGUAUUGGCUUUACUCAAACUGAAGACUUGAACUCCAAGGGCUGAUCGUGCAUCUUAGGAGAGCAGCAAAUCUCCUCCUGCCAUAACCCCCGGCCCCUCCAAUUGUAGCCCAGAGUCUCCAGGUUCUCCAGCUGGUCUUGCCCCUCUCCAUCGGCCCAAAGAGGGCUUCCACUGUCCCCGUGACCUCCCGACACGCUCCUCUGCCCACACUUGGGGUUUCCUCCAGCCUCCCACUUGGGUCGGGUAUCAGACAGACCAGCUGGACCCUUAGUUGCAGACUUGCUGCUACCGCUUCCAGGUGGGCUGGACACAGGUCACUGCGAACCUUUCCAGUGUGUGCCAGACUCUGAUCACAGGAUGCGGUAGACCAGGAGGGCGCAAAGCCUCUGUACAAAAGACCCAUGGGAUCUGCAGGCAGUGGUGACGGGCCACCCCGGGGUACCAGGAGACAUACACAAAGCCCUCUAGGAGAUUAUGAUCCCAGUACUCAGCCAUGUGUGGAAAGCACACUCAUGAGCGAGAGCGACAUAAGACAUUAGACCAAUGAGGCAUUGGACAAUAUUUAUACCACGACCAGGGCUAAGAGCACAGCAAAGAGGGAAGACGCAGACAGCAAAGAGAGGCCCGUCUUCCUCUCACAGAGACAGGGCCUGGAGAUGAGGUCUGUCCCCAUACACUCACCGGACAGUCACCGGGCAGCUCCAGUGCAGGGGUUCUGAUUCAGGUCCAAUUGGCCUGAUUAAAGUAACUCUCCCCUGCCCGCCCUCUAUCUCCCUCUACCGGGGAGAGAAAGAGAGGGACAUGGUAGAGAAAGGAAAGGGGAGAAGGCACAGCUCAGCGUGAAAUCACUGCCCUUGGCCAAAAGCUCCACACCCUCAGCCACCCCACAUGUGACCCUGUGUCUACCCGCUCUGCUGUCAACAGACAGCGUCCAGGCCUCGGUCACAUGGGCAAGAAUCGUCACUUCUUAUCUACCAAGAUAGUUCCCUUCCCGAUAUAAACCUGGCCCAAAGUUGCAUUAAGUGGGACCCAUAUUUGGACCCAAACUCUCACUUCAUUUUCUCCCUGCUCCCCAGAUCGCUUCACAGAAACAACAGGUAGAGAAGUGGGAUAUCUUACUGCUUCUUCUGGAACCGUCGAGAUGCAGCUCUUGAAGCAGCUCAUUCCCUUUCCUACCGACACACCACAUAGGCAGAAAGACCUGCACCCUUUCUGCUGAGUGUUAAGAUAAGCUUAAUCCUGUCCAGAGGGCAGUACAGCGUCAAAACAUCUACAAGACCAUCCAGCAAGACAUCCGUCAGGAACUAGGUCAAGUUUGCAGGCUGGGAAACACGAUCUUAGAAUUUCUGGUGAAGGGAAGGCAACAAACAGGACAUGGAGUCAGGACCAUAGAAAGCCAGGAGGUAGACAGAGACAGGCUAGUUGACACAUGGGGGAGGCCAGAUCCCUUGCCAGGUGCGAUCUGCCUUAAAUAACUGGCUGUUCUGAUCCAUCUUUGUUCCCGCUUCCCUGAGCGGCCUCAUCUGUCAGUAUAAAACCCAUGCCUCGCCCUUGGGUUCCCCCACACAGCGAACAGCAUUCUCCUGAAUCAGCCACUCCUUCAAGUCGUCUGCUAAACCCAGACACCAGUGGCAGCGCCAGGGACCUGCCCUUCCAUGGGCCUCACCCCCAACAACAGGACAAAAGGAGAACCUCGCUUCUAAGAUCUGAAAGGGAUGUGUCUGAACAUGGACUCGUUGAAGAUGAUCACAAAAGCGCUUCUUGAGACCCUAAUCCACGAAGUCACCAAAAUAUCAGUGAAAGAAGCAGAUCGCGGUUUAGACAUAGAACAGUUCCUUCAAAGGAGCUACGACGUUCUCGCAUUUACUGAGCCCUGAACUUCUGGGUAUUUUAAAUAAGUUAGCAUGGACAGAAGCAGGCUGUUGUUUUCCUGUUGUCCCUUUGGCACUAAGACAUACAAUCAAGGGGAAAGUUCAGUUUAAAGCGAAAGAUAUUGCCUUGAAGCAGGAAACAGGACAGAGGUGACUGCCAAUGCAGCCAGACACAAAUUGUACCGUGGGCAUCCUGUGUCAGGUUUGAUUUUUAUGAGCAAUUCCUGGCUUGGUAACUCAAGGAGGCCAAGGGCACCCCUGUGGAGCCAGAGAUGGCCUCCAGGGCUGGCCUGGCCAGACUAGUCUGCAGGGCUGACCACAAGCAUCCCAUGGGUCUGCCCCCUAUACCUACACCCCCUCAGCUAGUGGUACCCAGCCGGGUCCAUCCUAUUUACCCAAUCAUGAGGACCUCUUCCCCCAAAAACCCAGGUAAUGGAUCAAAGGAUUAACCUAGAAGAAAAGAAAAAGAACACAAGCCAUGUCCAGUUCUAAACACCCCCCAGUGGAGUGCUGAAUUCUUUAGUAACUGUGACUUAGGUGUGGCAGGUUUAGAGAUCUUUUUAGAAGAGAGAGAACUUUGGAAAGUUCAAGACCUACCGUGGCAAUUAAGUUGGGCAAACCAAAUAGCAGUUAAAAAUACCACAGUUAUGCUGCGCUUGUGGUUCGAACUGCAUUUCCCCAACAGCAUGCCAACCGUAUGACACCCAGGUUUUAUUUUAACCAAUUCUGCUGAGAAAAACACCAGCCUUCAACCUAACAGAGUCAAAAGCCAUGUGUUACGGUUACAUUCUGCUGUAAAAUGAUUAAGCAUUGAACAGGGAAAGCACACAAAGUUAGCAUCUGGUAACUACUUACCCUCCGCCCUGGGGGGUGCCGAACCACCCCCCAGGAAAUGUCAGAGCGCCUUUCUCGCAGUUAGAAACGCCCGCCCAAUCUCCACACUUGGAGCUUGCCUGUAUAUUUGCUCUUGAUCGUUCAAGUAAUACUUUACAAAGGAAAUUACUAAGCAGUCAUAAAGGGCAAAGGGUUAAAUAUUUAUGAAGGCUCACGAUGCCAACGAACUCACUUUCCCCAAAAUGUGCUCAACACAUCAAAGUUCUGUAUCCUUCAUGAAUGACCACUCUGACUUCACAAAAAGAGGAGUGAGCUCUGUAUCCGCCUGUGGCCUCUGCUGGCAAAGGCCCAACUGAAGCAGGUCCGAGAGACCCAGCCCACAGGGGACAAUCUUUCCAGCUCCACCAGCAGCUCGAGGCUCUCUGGGAGUUACCACACCUCUCCAUGUCUGGUUUCCACCCUUUUAAAACGGGCCUAGUGAUUGCACCCUCUCAAAGGUUUGUUAAGAAGAUGAAGACUUGGUGUGGGGAAGGCCUUAGAAUAGAGCCCAGCAUGUAAUGAGCACUAUGUGAGUUACUAUUCUUAUUGUUGGUUUUAUUAUUUGGCCAACAGGGAUUAAACACCAUAGCAGCACCGAAAGCAACGUUCAAGCUCUUGUUUCAGAUAGAAUGAGACCAAAGAAGAAACACUCUCUUCUCUAUUUAUUAUCAAAUGAUAUUCCAGGAAAUCACACUUAUCUAAAACAUACUUACUGAACAGGGAAUAUCUGCUGGACUUUGUGGAGGACACAAGAUAUUAUAAACCAAAGUUUCUACCAUCUAGGGCGUUACAGUCGAAUGAGGAAGCUAGGAUGUACGUGCAUAAGAAACCACACCGAGGGCAGCAUUUGUAAAGUGCCAGCUGAGCAACACUAUAGCAUUUAUUUUUAAUUGAUUUAUAAGUACCAAAGCGCUGAGUAAGCAGAUUGAUUUCAGCCUAAAAUGGGAAACAUCAUGGAGAUGGGAUCUGAGCUGGGCGUUGGAGGAUGGACAGGAUCCUAACUGAGAGAGAAGGAGGGUUUGGGGAAGGAGAAUAUUGGGAACGGUAUUGCAAAACUCAUGGGGCCAUCCGCAAUUUGAGAUGAGAGACUGGGGGGCUUAAGAACGUAAGGUCUGCAGUCAGAGGCCCUCCAUUCAAAUGCUUGUUCAACCACAUGCUCGCUGUGUGUCCAUGGCCAGUUACUUAAUCCUCUUUGUGCCUCUGUUUCCUAAUUGGAUCCCCCUCAUAAGUACUGUCCUGAAGACUAAGAUAAAGCAUGUGAGGAGCUUAACAUAGUUCCUGCACACAGUAGGUCUCAAGGUUAGCAAUUGUGAGAUAUUAGGCACUGGCAAGGAGGCUGCCAAGAGACCCAUCUGUGUGCAGAAGAGAGUUGAAGAGGAAGCUGAAAAGUGGUGCAACUCGACAUUGGAAGGUCAGAGGGGGUGUGUGGGGAGUUGCUUUCAUUCAGGGAGAGACCUGAGCCACCUGAGAAAAGUCAUCUUUAGGAUGGUUCACCUGACAGCUCCAGGCAGCUCGCAAGAAAGUGAAAGCAUCUGGGGACAGAAGUCCAAUAAUAAUGUACCAGGGUCCUUGUGGGACUGGUAAGGGGCUGCCGCUGGGUCCAGGCACUUGUCACAGGAAUAGAAAAGAAGGGUGGAUAUAAGGGACUGGAUUAGGUGGCUCAAAGAGUUGGUGGGAUAUGAGACAUGAGAGAAGGAGGCCAAAACAAACUCCACUGUGGGGCCGGCCUGGUGGCAUAGUGGUUAAGUCUGCGCGCUCUGCUUCAGUGGCCUGGGGUUCACAGGUUCGGA
Equus caballus (horse) is the source of this 9580-nucleotide long non-coding RNA. RefSeq lists it as uncharacterized. Lineage: Eukaryota; Metazoa; Chordata; Mammalia; Perissodactyla; Equidae. The record is from RefSeq and is a predicted model, not a curated record.